RNAcentral lists this ribosomal RNA (843 nucleotides) under Triticum aestivum (bread wheat). Its description in RNAcentral is "partial small subunit ribosomal RNA". The record is from RNAcentral. Lineage: Eukaryota; Viridiplantae; Streptophyta; Magnoliopsida; Poales; Poaceae.
AUGGGUAGAAGUAGGGUCAAUCCUAUUUGGGGUAAGAUUUGGAAAUUAGCUUGUCCGGCGAAGGUGAAUUUUUUUAUCUGGCGUACAUUGCAUGGGACACUACUGUGUUGUAUUACCCUGGCCAAUAGACACAUAAAAAUUUCACCCAAUUGCCUAGCAUGUUCAAAUGGGCCAGAGGAUACAAAGCAUGUGUUGUUUCUGUGUCAGAAGGCAAAAGAAGUGUGGGAAAAGUUGGGGAUGUAUGGAGCAGUUAAAAAAGCUUGUGCGGUUGAUCAUGCAGGGGAGGCAGUCCUCGAAUCAUUACUCCUCAUGCCACAACAAGAAUUUUCUUUAUCGGAUUCACAUAACGCACGGGAGCUGAUUGCUAUAACCGCAUGGUAUUUAUGGUGGAAUAGACGUAAACUGGUUCACGAGGGAAAGUCUCAAGAGGUAUGUCAAACCUCGAUGGGAAUUCGUGCUAUAACAACAAAUUUUGUAAAUUCCCAUUCCCCUAAUGCAAAUAGGAAGAUUGGAGGGUGGAGUAGACCUCCUAGGGGCUUUGUUAAAUUGAAUGUGGAUGCUACCUUCAAUCAUGAUCUACUAAAGGGCACAGCGGGGGCUGUCCUCAAGGAUGACAAAGGAAUCUUCAUUGUAGGUGGAAAUUGGAAGAUUGAUUGUUGCGUUGAUGUCCUGACAGCGGAAGCAUUAGCACUUAGGUUUGGCUUAUCGCUAGCACAGAAGGUGGGUUGCAAUCGUCUUGUUAUCAACUCUGACAAUAUGGAAGUCAUUGACACAAUGAAGAAUGGAGGACACUCUGCAGGAGCGGCAUCAGCAAUUUUUGAUGACUGUUUUUAUAGCUUGUGA